Molecule: small nucleolar RNA, 132 nt
Organism: Talpa occidentalis (Iberian mole)
Lineage: Eukaryota; Metazoa; Chordata; Mammalia; Eulipotyphla; Talpidae
Source: RefSeq, a predicted model, not a curated record
UUGGUCUUUAGUCAAGGCCAAGAGUUUACAGAAGCUUUUGGUUUUAAGCAGGAGUCUAAAGAAAUGUCUUUAUAUGGUCUGUUGGCCAUUUCAGAACUGCAGAGAUAUAAUGGUCAUUCGUUAGAAACAUCU